GCUUUUCCCCCAAAUUAGGCGGGUCGCCAAAAUCCUCGGUGCCCGUCCACCACUCGUACGCAAUCCCACUCCCCAUCUCCUCGCUCCCCUCCCCCGCCCACUUCACCGCCGGCGACCGCGACGGCUCAUCUCCUCCCUCCUACAUCACCGCCGCCUGCAACCACCGGCGACCUUUCUCAUGGGCUCAACCCUAUCCCCCACCCUCCCCUCACGUUCUCUCCCAGAUCGGAUCGGAUCGAGAAUCAGCAGGCCAUGGAGUUGGUGAAGUUGUCCCUCCUUCGUCAACUUGGUUAGAGGUCCAAGUUCGAGGGACCUGACGAGAAAGAGGACAAGGACCACCGGGAACCAAGACCUCCAUAUAGCCAUGGCAAUAGCCGCACCUUCCCCUUCCACAAGGUGUAGUAGGUGUUCAUGGAAAAAGACAGAAAUUUUUAGGAGAUGAGGAGUUACUGAAACAUUGGCUGCAGUGCAAGGCCUCAAUGUGGCCAAAUCAACUCAAUGGUAUGUUGUGCUGGGCACUCAAUCAUUAUGUGAAGAGUUGUGAGUUUGCACUGCUACUAUUUGAAGAAACUGUAAAUUUUGAGACUUUAGUUGCUAGGGACGGAAAGCUGGAUGUCUGGUGUAUGUUUAGUACAGGUAGAAAUUUUCUACCCUACCACUUGUUGUCGUACAUGCUGGUUCUAGUUCAUGUGUUGGAUGCCUCAGACCUAGUUACAUAAUGAUACGUCUCCAACGUAUCUACUUUUCCAAACACUUUUGCCCUUGUUUU
Triticum aestivum (bread wheat) is the source of this 769-nucleotide long non-coding RNA. RefSeq lists it as uncharacterized. The transcript is spliced from 3 exons. The record is from RefSeq and is a predicted model, not a curated record. NCBI's taxonomy places the organism in Eukaryota, Viridiplantae, Streptophyta, Magnoliopsida, Poales, Poaceae.